AUCCCUUUAAUUUUGCAUUAGCAACAUCACUGCAAAGAGACCAAUGCGUCUAGGACACUCACGAAAAUGAAAGGAAAAAAAAAAAAGAUGAACUUAGAGGACUCACGAAAAUGAAAGAUAAAAAAGAGAUGGACCUUGGAGGUUAUCAGGGCAGGCAAGGAACUCUUAGUAGAUCAGUUGAUUGAUUAGCUGAACUUUUACUUUGUUGUUUGUUGGUGAGAGUUCAGUUCUCCACCUUGUAAUCUCCCUUUUUAUUUUUCUUUCCCCGACCCGAUUUCAGAAAGUAAUCUGUCAAGAUUUGCCCUGAAUUUUCUACUAUAUUUGAUUUUCUGAAAAAGAUUUCUUUCUUAUUAGGUUUCUAUUAGGUUUAUGUUUUAUUAGAAGAAUGGUUUUGUAACUCUAUAAAUAGGAAAUUCCUUCAAUACAAUAGUCUCCAUAAUGUAGUUGUUUUAAGAGUCUGGUUUAGAGAGAGAUUUUCUCUCAAAUAAUUUUAUGUUUUUUAAUAUGUAGGUCAAUUUGCCGUAUGUUUUUAUUUGUCAUCUGAAUUAUCACCGUAUUGGUUUGCAAAUUUUAAGCUUUCGCAUGACGCCCUCUCAAUUUC
This 601-nucleotide long non-coding RNA is filed under the name Capsicum annuum. RNAcentral describes it as "long non-coding RNA (CANN_LNC009622)". Lineage: Eukaryota; Viridiplantae; Streptophyta; Magnoliopsida; Solanales; Solanaceae. The record is from RNAcentral.